This 261-nucleotide ribosomal RNA is filed under the name uncultured archaeon. RNAcentral describes it as "partial 16S ribosomal RNA". It matches the Rfam family "Archaeal small subunit ribosomal RNA", at positions 748 to 1009 of the family's 1478-position model. The record is from RNAcentral.
UAGCCGUAAACGAUACUCGCUAGGUGUCGGCCACAGUGCGACCGUUGUCGGUGCCGUAGGGAAGCCGUGAAGCGAGCCACCUGGGAAGUACGGCCGCAAGGCUGAAACUUAAAGGAAUUGGCGGGGGAGCACCACAACGGGUGGAGCUUGCGGUUUAAUUGGACUCAACGCCGGGAAGCUCACCGGAUAAGACAGCGGAAUGAUUGCCGGGCUGAAGACCCUGCAUGACCAGCUGAGAGGAGGUGCAUGGCGUAGUCGUGU